UGCCCCAUAGUCUGGGAUACCACUUGGAAACAGGUGCUAAUACCGGAUAAGAAAGCGGAUCGCAUGAUCAGCUUUUAAAAGGCGGCGUAAGCUGUCGCUAUGGGAUGGCCCCGCGGUGCAUUAGCUAGUUGGUAAGGUAAAGGCUUACCAAGGCGAUGAUGCAUAGCCGAGUUGAGAGACUGAUCGGCCACAUUGGGACUGAGACACGGCCCAAACUCCUACGGGAGGCAGCAGCG
RNAcentral lists this ribosomal RNA (236 nucleotides) under uncultured Lactobacillus sp. Its description in RNAcentral is "partial 16S ribosomal RNA". It matches the Rfam family "Bacterial small subunit ribosomal RNA", at positions 127 to 356 of the family's 1533-position model. The record is from RNAcentral. Lineage: Bacteria; Bacillati; Bacillota; Bacilli; Lactobacillales; Lactobacillaceae.